GCUUAACACAUGCAAGUCGAACGGAAAGGCCCUGCUUUUGUGGGGUGCUCGAGUGGCGAACGGGUGAGUAACACGUGAGUAACCUGCCCUUGACUUUGGGAUAACUUCAGGAAACUGGGGCUAAUACCGGAUAGGAGCUCCUGCUGCAUGGUGGGGGUUGGAAAGUUUCGGCGGUUGGGGAUGGACUCGCGGCUUACCAGCUUGUUGGUGGGGUAGUGGCUUACCAAGGCUUUGACGGGUAGCCGGCCUGAGAGGGUGACCGGCCACAUUGGGACUGAGAUACGGCCCAGACUCCUACGGGAGGCGGCAGUGGGGAAUAUUGCACAAUGGGCGGAAGCCUGAUGCAGCAACGCCGCGUGCGGGAUGACGGCCUUCGGGUUGUAAACCGCUUUCGCCUGUGACGAAGCGUGAGUGACGGUAAUGGGUAAAGAAGCACCGGCUAACUACGUGCCAGCAGCCGCGGUGAUACGUAGGGUGCGAGCGUUGUCCGGAUUUAUUGGGCGUAAAGGGCUCGUAGGUGGUUGAUCGCGUCGGAAGUGUAAUCUUGGGGCUUAACCCUGAGCGUGCUUUCGAUACGGGUUGACUUGAGGAAGGUAGGGGAGAAUGGAAUUCCUGGUGGAGCGGUGGAAUGCGCAGAUAUCAGGGGGAACACCAGUGGCGAAGGCGGUUCUCUGGGCCUUUCCUGACGCUGAGGAGCGAAAGCGUGGGGAGCGAACAGGCUUAGAUACCCUGGCAGUCCACGCUGUAAACGGCGGGUACUAGGUGUGGGGUCCAUUCCACGGGUUCCGUGCCGUAGCUAACGCUUUAAGUACCCCGCCUGGGGAGUACGGCCGCAAGGCUAAAACUCAAAGGAAUUGACGGGGCCCCGCACAAGCGGCGGAGCAUGCGGAUUAAUUCGAUGCAACGCGUAGAACCUUACCUGGGUUUGACAUGGAUCGGGAGUGCUCAGAGAUGGGUGUGCCUCUUUUGGGGUCGGUUCACAGGUGGUGCAUGGCUGUCGUCAGCUCGUGUCGUGAGAUGUUGGGUUAAGUCCCGCAACGAGCGCAACCCUGUUCACUGUUGCCAGCACGUUAUGGUGGGGACUCAGUGGAGACCGCCGGGGUCAACUCGGAGGAAGGUGGGGAUGACGUCAAGUCAUCAUGCCCCUUAUGUCCAGGGCUUCACGCAUGCUACAAUGGCUGGUACAGAGAGUGGCGAGCCUGUGAGGGUGAGCGAAUCUCGGAAAGCCGGUCUCAGUUCGGAUUGGGGUCUGCAACUCGACCUCAUGAAGUCGGAGUCGCUAGUAAUCGCAGAUCAGCAACGCUGCGGUGAAUACGUUCCCGGGGCUUGUACACACCGCCCGUCAAGUCAUGAAAGUUGGUAACACCCGAAGCCGGUGGCCUAACCGUUGUGGGGGAGCCGUCGAAGGUGGGACUGGUGAUUAGGACUAAGU
RNAcentral lists this ribosomal RNA (1432 nucleotides) under uncultured organism. Its description in RNAcentral is "16S ribosomal RNA". It matches the Rfam family "Bacterial small subunit ribosomal RNA". The record is from RNAcentral.